CACUAUCGUUAACUGAAUACAUAGGUUAACGAGGCGAACCGGGGGAACUGAAACAUCUAAGUACCCCGAGGAAAAGAAAUCAACCGAGAUUCCCCCAGUAGCGGCGAGCGAACGGGGAGCAGCCCAGAGUCUGAAUCAGCUUGUGUGUUAGUGGAACGGUCUGGAAAGUCCGACGGUACAGGGUGAUAGUCCCGUACACCAAAAUGCACAGGUUGUGAACUCGAAGAGUAGGGCGGGACACGUGGUAUCCUGUCUGAAUAUGGGGGGACCAUCCUCCAAGGCUAAAUACUCCUGACUGACCGAUAGUGAACCAGUACCGUGAGGGAAAGGCGAAAAGAACCCCGGCGAGGGGAGUGAAAAAGAACCUGAAACCGUGUACGUACAAGCAGUGGGAGCACCUUCGGGUGUGACUGCGUACCUUUUGUAUAAUGGGUCAGCGACUUAUAUUCUGUAGCAAGGUUAACCGUAUAGGGGAGCCGCAGGGAAACCGAGUCUUAACUGGGCGUUAAGUUGCAGGGUAUAGACCCGAAACCCGGUGAUCUAGCCAUGGGCAGGUUGAAGGUUGGGUAACACUAACUGGAGGACCGAACCGACUAAUGUUGAAAAAUUAGCGGAUGACUUGUGGCUGGGGGUGAAAGGCCAAUCAAACCGGGAGAUAGCUGGUUCUCCCCGAAAGCUAUUUAGGUAGCGCCUCGUGAAUUCAUCUUCGGGGGUAGAGCACUGUUUCGGCUAGGGGGUCAUCCCGACUUACCAACCCGAUGCAAACUACGAAUACCGAAGAAUGUUAUCACGGGAGACACACGGCGGGUGCUAACGUCCGUCGUGAAGAGGGAAACAACCCAGACCGCCAGCUAAGGUCCCAAAGUCAUGGUUAAGUGGGAAACGAUGUGGGAAGGCACAGACAGCCAGGAUGUUGGCUUAGAAGCAGCCAUCAUUUAAAGAAAGCGUAAUAGCUCACUGGUCGAGUCGGCCUGCGCGGAAGAUGUAACGGGGCUAAACCAUGCACCGAAGCUGCGGCAGCGACACUAUGUGUUGUUGGGUAGGGGAGCGUUCUGUAAGCCUGCGAAGGUGUGCUGUGAGGCAUGCUGGAGGUAUCAGAAGUGCGAAUGCUGACAUAAGUAACGAUAAAGCGGGUGAAAAGCCCGCUCGCCGGAAGACCAAGGGUUCCUGUCCAACGUUAAUCGGGGCAGGGUGAGUCGACCCCUAAGGCGAGGCCGAAAGGCGUAGUCGAUGGGAAACAGGUUAAUAUUCCUGUACUUGGUGUUACUGCGAAGGGGGGACGGAGAAGGCUAUGUUAGCCGGGCGACGGUUGUCCCGGUUUAAGCAUGUAGGCUGGUUAUCCAGGCAAAUCCGGAUAAUCAAGGCUGAGGUGUGAUGACGAGGUACUACGGUGCUGAAGUAACAAAUGCCCUGCUUCCAGGAAAAGCCUCUAAGCAUCAGGUAACAUCAAAUCGUACCCCAAACCGACACAGGUGGUCAGGUAGAGAAUACCAAGGCGCUUGAGAGAACUCGGGUGAAGGAACUAGGCAAAAUGGUGCCGUAACUUCGGGAGAAGGCACGCUGGUGUGUAGGUGAAGUCCCUGCGGAUGGAGCUGAGACCAGUCGAAGAUACCAGCUGGCUGCAACUGUUUAUUAAAAACACAGCACUGUGCAAACACGAAAGUGGACGUAUACGGUGUGACGCCUGCCCGGUGCCGGAAGGUUAAUUGAUGGGGUUAUCCGUAAGGAGAAGCUCUUGAUCGAAGCCCCGGUAAACGGCGGCCGUAACUAUAACGGUCCUAAGGUAGCGAAAUUCCUUGUCGGGUAAGUUCCGACCUGCACGAAUGGCGUAAUGAUGGCCAGGCUGUCUCCACCCGAGACUCAGUGAAAUUGAACUCGCUGUGAAGAUGCAGUGUACCCGCGGCAAGACGGAAAGACCCCGUGAACCUUUACUAUAGCUUGACACUGAACAUUGAGCCUUGAUGUGUAGGAUAGGUGGGAGGCUUUGAAGCGUGGACGCCAGUCUGCGUGGAGCCAACCUUGAAAUACCACCCUUUAAUGUUUGAUGUUCUAACGUUGGCCCCUGACCGGGGUUGCGGACAGUGUCUGGUGGGUAGUUUGACUGGGGCGGUCUCCUCCCAAAGCGUAACGGAGGAGCACGAAGGUUAGCUAAUCCUGGUCGGACAUCAGGAGGUUAGUGCAAUGGCAUAAGCUAGCUUGACUGCGAGCGUGACGGCGCGAGCAGGUGCGAAAGCAGGUCAUAGUGAUCCGGUGGUUCUGAAUGGAAGGGCCAUCGCUCAACGGAUAAAAGGUACUCCGGGGAUAACAGGCUGAUACCGCCCAAGAGUUCAUAUCGACGGCGGUGUUUGGCACCUCGAUGUCGGCUCAUCACAUCCUGGGGCUGAAGUAGGUCCCAAGGGUAUGGCUGUUCGCCAUUUAAAGUGGUACGCGAGCUGGGUUUAGAACGUCGUGAGACAGUUCGGUCCCUAUCUGCCGUGGGCGCUGGAGAAUUGAGGGGGGCUGCUCCUAGUACGAGAGGACCGGAGUGGACGCAUCACUGGUGUUCGGGUUGUCAUGCCAAUGGCACUGCCCGGUAGCUAAAUGCGGAAGAGAUAAGUGCUGAAAGCAUCUAAGCACGAAACUUGCCCCGAGAUGAGUUCUCCCUGAGACUUUAAGUCUCCUGAAGGAACGUUGAAGACGACGACGUUGAUAGGCCGGGUGUGUAAGCGCAGCGAUGCGUUGAGCUAACCGGUACUAAUGAACCGUGAGGCUUAACCUU
RNAcentral lists this ribosomal RNA (2758 nucleotides) under Klebsiella pneumoniae. RNAcentral describes it as "bacterial LSU rRNA". It matches the Rfam family "Bacterial large subunit ribosomal RNA". Lineage: Bacteria; Pseudomonadati; Pseudomonadota; Gammaproteobacteria; Enterobacterales; Enterobacteriaceae. The record is from RNAcentral.